Molecule: long non-coding RNA, 1116 nt
Organism: Nerophis lumbriciformis (worm pipefish)
Lineage: Eukaryota; Metazoa; Chordata; Actinopteri; Syngnathiformes; Syngnathidae
Source: RefSeq, a predicted model, not a curated record
CAUUUCUGAAGAUGAGCAGCCACCACAUGUGACAACAGCAAGCUGAUGCAGGCCGGCCCACAUUUUGGAGCUAAAGGUGCCGUAUGUAAUAAUGUGGCCAGAAAUGGUACUGCAAUCAGGGUCAACAUUCUGUAGGCCCCUCUCACUCUCUAUGACUGAGGUUGCCAGAUACACAGCCCAAUCCCAAUCCUAAACCAAGGAACUUCAAACUCGACGAGUCCUACGCUUGGCACUACUGGUGAGGAUUUUCUUUUCCUGGACGGGCGAAAUCUGGGAAAGAAGGACAGACAACGGGAUUUCCCAGCGAAAAUGGGAAGUUUUGACAAAGACCACAGCAAACGUCACCCAGCUUGCGAAGAUUGUAAUAAAUCGAUUAGAAGAAGACGGCCUGCCGUUUCCUUAAACUUGGACACAGGCAUUUAUACCUUUGGUCAUUAUGAGCCAGUAAUUUCCAGAAGUUAUGUCAUACUGUGAGAAGCCUCCAUUUUACUAAUGAUUUCCAAUGGUGCAAAAAUGUAUAUAUUAAAAAUGUAAAUGCAGUAUUACUGUCAACACAUAUUUGCAUCAGCCUUUGAUAGUAGACUAAUAUAACUAAUAUAGAAACUUACAUCAUGUGUUGACUUUAUUAUAACACUUACUGUAUAUAAGGCUUUUAAUUUUUUGCGGCUCCAGACAAUUUUAAUUUUUUUUUAUUUUUGGUCCAAUAUGGCUCCUUCAACAUUUUGGGUUGCCCACCCCUGGCUUAGCCGCUUGUCAGCCAGGAAAGAAUCGGGGAAAUUAUUGUUAUUAUUCUUUGUAUUGUUCCCACACUAACAUUGCUUUUUGGUGUCACUUUUGAUAUGGUUUUGUCACGGUUUACUAGCUUUCUAUUGCGACUUUUUUUUUUUUCUUAGCAUCUGAUCAAGCCAAGAAAAAGUGACUUUCUUAGUCUUUUUUUAAGUGUGAACGGUGGAGAAGUCCCCGGGAGGUGAUCUAGUGAUCACUUCCUAAGGAUCCUUGAUGCUGAGGAAUAUUCAUCCAUCUUGCUAUGGUCUGGAUCGUCUGCUGAUCCUGAGCCAGUGCAGGAUGGAUGGAUAUAUACAAUAUCUGGGUACUUUUUCCUAAUAAUGUCUAUAA